GCCCCGGUAGCUCAACUGGAUAGAGCAUUGGACUUCUAUUCCAAGGGUUGCAGGUUCGAGUCCUGCCCGGGGUGCCA
RNAcentral lists this transfer RNA (77 nucleotides) under Oceanospirillaceae bacterium. RNAcentral's name for it is "tRNA-Arg". It matches the Rfam family "tRNA". From Rfam's summary of the family: Transfer RNA (tRNA) molecules are approximately 80 nucleotides in length. Their secondary structure includes four short double-helical elements and three loops (D, anti-codon, and T loops). Lineage: Bacteria; Pseudomonadati; Pseudomonadota; Gammaproteobacteria; Oceanospirillales; Oceanospirillaceae. The record is from RNAcentral.